UUCACCCUGUCCGUCUCUGACCACUAGGCCUAUCAGAUGGACCAAUAGAGGCCCUCUCCUUCACCCUGUCUGUCUCUGACCACUAGGCCUAUCAGAUGGACCAAUAGAGGCCCUCUCCUUCACCCUGUCUGUCUCUGACCACUAGGCCUAUCAGAUGGACCAAGAGAGGCCCUCUCCUUCACCCUGUCCGUCUCUGACCACUAGGCCAAGAGAGGCCCUCUCCUUCACCCUGUCCGUCUCUGACCACUAGGCCUAUCAGAUGGACCAAGAGAGG
RNAcentral lists this long non-coding RNA (274 nucleotides) under Salmo salar (Atlantic salmon). Its description in RNAcentral is "lncRNA (ENSSSAG00000111410.1)". The record is from RNAcentral. Lineage: Eukaryota; Metazoa; Chordata; Actinopteri; Salmoniformes; Salmonidae.